GACCUAAACUUCACCCUUGUCUAAGCAAACCAGAGGUGUCUCUCUAUAACCAUUUUAUUUUAACUCAAUUUUCUUGCCAUGAUCAGCCACCACUCUUGUUCUCCAAAUGGGGUGGCUGCUUUCCCUCUUCUGUCCGUUGAAGAAGCUAUGGACUCGUCUCCGUUCUGCUCACAAGAAGAGUAAAGGGAUACACAUUCUGUACGAGGAUGUCAAGUCCUGCCCUUACGAAGACGUGCAUGUUCUCUGGUCCAUUCUUGUGGAGUCGCAUACACCUGCUUUGCCACCAAUUGUUACUCAAGUACAGAAUCCUAGGAGCACGGGGUUCUGCCAAUCAGUCGUGUAAUCAAGUAAUGUAAAUACCUAAGGGGUUUCCAGUUUUCAUAUAUUUCUAUGGUUCCUACUACUAAGGUGCUGCUAUAUUUUGAAUCUCUCCGACUUAAGAAAGUUUAGUCAGAGAUCAUAUAUGUUGUGUGUUCAAAUUUGACAUACAUGUGCGCGCCUCAUGUACUGUGCAUCAUAAAGGGAGAAAUAUUUGAUGAAUAACAAAAGCCCCAGUAUCGCGAUCUUUCUUGCU
Daucus carota subsp. sativus is the source of this 574-nucleotide long non-coding RNA. RefSeq lists it as uncharacterized. The record is from RefSeq and is a predicted model, not a curated record. Lineage: Eukaryota; Viridiplantae; Streptophyta; Magnoliopsida; Apiales; Apiaceae. The transcript has 2 exons.